RNAcentral lists this ribosomal RNA (492 nucleotides) under uncultured bacterium. RNAcentral describes it as "partial 16S ribosomal RNA". It matches the Rfam family "Bacterial small subunit ribosomal RNA", at positions 29 to 507 of the family's 1533-position model. The record is from RNAcentral.
AGUGAACGCUGGCGGUAGGCCUAACACAUGCAAGUCGAACGGCAGCACAGUAAGAGCUUGCUCUUACGGGUGGCGAGUGGCGGACGGGUGAGGAAUACAUCGGAAUCUACUUUUUCGUGGGGGAUAACGUAGGGAAACUUACGCUAAUACCGCAUACGACCUACGGGUUAAAGAAGGGGAUCUUCGGACCUUGCGCGAUUGAAUGAGCCGAUGUCGGAUUAGCUAGUUGGCGGGGUAAAGGCCCACCAAGGCGACGAUCCGUAGCUGGUCUGAGAGGAUGAUCAGCCACACUGGAACUGAGACACGGUCCAGACUCCUACGGGAGGCAGCAGUGGGGAAUAUUGGACAAUGGGCGAAAGCCUGAUCCAGCCAUACCGCGUGAGUGAAGAAGGCCUUCGGGUUGUAAAGCCCUUUUGUUGGGAAAGAAAAGCAGCAGGUUAAUACCCCGCUGUUCUGACGGUACCCAAAGAAUAAGCACCGGCUAACUUCGUG